UUCUUGGCUCAGGACGAACGCUGGCGGCGUGCCUAAUACAUGCAAGUCGAGCGCGGGAAGCGAGUGGAUCCCUUCGGGGUGAAGCUCGUGGAACGAGCGGCGGACGGGUGAGUAACACGUGGGCAACCUGCCUGUAAGAUCGGAAUAACCCCGGGAAACCGGGGCUAAUGCCGGAUAAUACUUUCUUUCGCAUGAAGGAAAGUUGAAAGAUGGCUUCUUGCUAUCACUUACAGAUGGGCCCGCGGCGCAUUAGCUAGUUGGUGAGGUAACGGCUCACCAAGGCGACGAUGCGUAGCCGACCUGAGAGGGUGAUCGGCCACACUGGGACUGAGACACGGCCCAGACUCCUACGGGAGGCAGCAGUAGGGAAUCUUCCGCAAUGGACGAAAGUCUGACGGACCCACGCCGCGUGAACGAUGAAGGUCUUCGGAUCGUAAAGUUCUGUUGUUAGGGAAGAACAAGUACCGUGCGAAUAGAGCGGUACCUUGACGGUACCCUAACGAGGAAACCCCCCGGCUAACUACGUGCCCAGCAGCCGCGGGUAAU
Molecule: ribosomal RNA, 546 nt
Filed under: uncultured Bacillota bacterium
Lineage: Bacteria; Bacillati; Bacillota
Description: bacterial SSU rRNA
Rfam family: Bacterial small subunit ribosomal RNA
Source: RNAcentral